GUGGGGAAUCUUCCGCAAUGGACGAAAGUCUGACGGAGCAACGCCGCGUGAGUGAUGAAGGUCUUCGGAUUGUAAAGCUCUGUUAAUCGGGACGAAAGAGCCUAGUGUGAAUAAUGCUAGGAAGUGACGGUACCGGAAUAGAAAGCCACGGCUAACUACGUGCCAGCAGCCGCGGUAAUACGUAGGUGGCAAGCGUUGUCCGGAAUUAUUGGGCGUAAAGCGCGCGCAGGCGGAUCUGCCAGUCUGUCUUAAAAGUUCGGGGCUUAACCCCGUGAUGGGAUGGAAACUACAGAUCUAGAGUAUCGGAGAGGAAAGUGGAAUUCCUAGUGUAGCGGUGAAAUGCGUAGAGAUUUGGAAGAACACCAGUGGCGAAGGCGACUUUCUGGACGAUGUCUGACGCUGAGGCGCGAAAGCUAGGGGAGCGAACGGGAUUAGAAACCCCGGUAGUCC
RNAcentral lists this ribosomal RNA (450 nucleotides) under uncultured bacterium. RNAcentral describes it as "partial 16S ribosomal RNA". It matches the Rfam family "Bacterial small subunit ribosomal RNA", at positions 354 to 796 of the family's 1533-position model. The record is from RNAcentral.